UACGGAGGAUGCAGGCGUUAUCCGGAUUUAUUGGGUUUAAAGGGUGCGUAGGCGGCUUGUUAAGCGGGAGGUGAAAUGCCGGCGCUCAACGUCGGAAGUGCCUCCCGAACUGGCGAGCUCGAAUAGCCCUGCCGUGGGAGGAAUGUGUGGUGUAGCGGUGAAAUGCAUAGAGAUCACACAGAACACCGAUUGCGAAGGCAUCUCACGAAGGGCCGAUUGACGCUGAGGCACGAAAGCGUGGGGAUCAAAC
RNAcentral lists this ribosomal RNA (250 nucleotides) under uncultured prokaryote. RNAcentral describes it as "partial 16S ribosomal RNA". It matches the Rfam family "Bacterial small subunit ribosomal RNA", at positions 524 to 773 of the family's 1533-position model. The record is from RNAcentral.